This 399-nucleotide ribosomal RNA is filed under the name Bombina orientalis. RNAcentral describes it as "partial 16S ribosomal RNA". It matches the Rfam family "Bacterial large subunit ribosomal RNA", at positions 1999 to 2558 of the family's 2925-position model. Lineage: Eukaryota; Metazoa; Chordata; Amphibia; Anura; Bombinatoridae. The record is from RNAcentral.
GCAUCANGAGAGUUCAACUGUCUCCCNNACCCAAUCAGUGAAACUGAUCUCCCCGUGCAGAAGCGGGGAUAAAACCAUAAGACGAGAAGACCCCAUGGAGCUUUAAACUAAAGGCACUAGCUCUUAAUUUACCCCAAGGACAAAACAUUAAACCAGUUAAAGUGACCUGUCGUUUUCGGUUGGGGCGACCACGGAGAAGAACAAAUCCUCCGAGAUGAAAGGGUAAACCCUUAGCCAAGACCCACAAUUCUAAGCAAUAGAACAUCUAACGCACCGAUCCAAUCAAAUUGAUCAACGAACCAAGUUACCCUGGGGAUAACAGCGCAAUCUAUUUUCAGAGUUCAUAUCGACAAAUAGGUUUACGACCUCGAUGUUGGAUCAGGGCCUCCUANGGUGCAG